GGUCUUAGCUUGCUAAGACUGAUGGCGACCGGCGCACGGGUGAGUAACACGUAUCCAACCUGCCGUCUACUCUUGGACAGCCUUCUGAAAGGAAGAUUAAUACAAGAUGGCAUCAUGAGUCCGCAUGUUCACAUGAUUAAAGGUAUUCCGGUAGACGAUGGGGAUGCGUUCCAUUAGAUAGUAGGCGGGGUAACGGCCCACCUAGUCUUCGAUGGAUAGGGGUUCUGAGAGGAAGGUCCCCCACAUUGGAACUGAGACACGGUCCAAACUCCUACGGGAGGCAGCAGUGAGGAAUAUUGGUCAAUGGGCGAGAGCCUGAACCAGCCAAGUAGCGUGAAGGAUGACUGCCCUAUGGGUUGUAAACUUCUUUUAUAAAGGAAUAAAGUCGGGUAUGGAUACCCGUUUGCAUGUACUUUAUGAAUAAGGAUCGGCUAACUCCGUGCCAGCAGCCGCGGUAAUACGGAGGAUCCGAGCGUUAUCCGGAUUUAUUGGGUUUAAAGGGAGCGUAGAUGGAUGUUUAAGUCAGUUGUGAAAGUUUGCGGCUCAACCGUAAAAUUGCAGUUGAUACUGGAUAUCUUGAAGUGCAGUUGAGGCAGGCGGA
RNAcentral lists this ribosomal RNA (601 nucleotides) under uncultured Bacteroidales bacterium. RNAcentral describes it as "bacterial SSU rRNA". It matches the Rfam family "Bacterial small subunit ribosomal RNA", at positions 71 to 665 of the family's 1533-position model. Lineage: Bacteria; Pseudomonadati; Bacteroidota; Bacteroidia; Bacteroidales. The record is from RNAcentral.